This 631-nucleotide unclassified non-coding RNA is filed under the name Hevea brasiliensis (rubber tree). The record is from RNAcentral. Lineage: Eukaryota; Viridiplantae; Streptophyta; Magnoliopsida; Malpighiales; Euphorbiaceae.
ACCGUAUUUAAUAGUGAUCUAAGAGGGAUUCUAGGCCUGGUCAAGGUGCCCUGUUGCAUAAUUCAGACAGCCAAGGACGUGUCAGUACCAGCAUCUGUGGCGGAGUAUUUGAAAACCCAUUUGGGUGGGCGUAGCACGGUUGAGAUAUUAAGGACAGAGGGUCAUUUGCCACAUUUGAGCGCCCCAGCUUUGUUGGCCCAAGUGAUCCGGCGAGCCCUUUCGCGGUGAGCGAUGGCACUGCUUGUAGUUGUGGGAAAUGAAUGAAGAAGUCAAUUGACGUCAGUUAGGUCCGAGUUACUACGGUACAGGCACAGCUACUAAGUGGGGUCCCAAAAAAAAUUGUAAUAAGGUGGAGAUGUUGACACCUGGCGAAUAAUUUGUGGACAUUAGUCCAUUGUACUUGGGAUAAAUAUGUACUGAUGUAAUGAGAUGAAAUGAUAUUUUGGAAAGGAUAAGAAAUGCCCACGUGAUAAUCACGUGAUGAGGGAAUGCUACUUUNCUCGUUUCUUUUUUUCCUUGUUUUCGAGCGGGGAAGUUGGCAGAAGCUAUAAAGAGAUGAAAUGCUGCUAUUAAUUUUUGUACUUUUGGGGAACCCUCCAACAUGGCCUUUUCAGAAGAAAACAACGCCGCG